Molecule: ribosomal RNA, 859 nt
Filed under: uncultured bacterium
Lineage: Bacteria
Description: bacterial SSU rRNA
Rfam family: Bacterial small subunit ribosomal RNA
Source: RNAcentral
AGAGUUUGAUCCUGGCUCAGGAUGAACGCUGUCGGCGUGCUUAACACAUGCAAGUCGAACGGACUCAUAUUGAAACCUAGUGAUUUAUGAGUUAGUGGCGGACGGGUGAGUAACGCGUGGAAAACCUGCCGUAUACUGGGGGAUAACACUUAGAAAUAGGUGCUAAUACCGCAUAAGCGCACAGCUUCGCAUGAAGUGGUGUGAAAAACUCUGGUGGUAUACGAUGGUUCCGCGUCUGAUUAGCUUGUUGGCGGGGUAAUGGCUCACCAAGGCGACGAUCAGUAGCCGGCCUGAGAGGGUGAACGGCCACAUUGGGACUGAGACACGGCCCAAACUCCUACGGGAGGCAGCAGUGGGGAAUAUUGCACAAUGGGGGAAACCCUGAUGCAGCGACGCCGCGUGAGUGAAGAAGUAUUUCGGUAUGUAAAGCUCUAUCAGCAGGGAAGAAAUAGCGACCUUUGGGUCGCCAGACGGUACCUGAUUAAGAAGCCCCGGCUAACUACGUGCCAGCAGCCGCGGUAAUACGUAGGGGGCAAGCGUUAUCCGGAUUUACUGGGUGUAAAGGGAGCGUAGACGGCAGCACAAGUCUGAAGUGAAAUGCCGGGGCUUAACCCCGGAACUGCUUUGGAAACUGUGCAGCUAGAGUGCAGGAGAGGUAAGUGGAAUUCCUAGUGUAGCGGUGAAAUGCGUAGAUAUUAGGAGGAACACCAGUGGCGAAGGCGGCUUACUGGACUGUAACUGACGUUGAGGCUCGAAAGCGUGGGGAGCAAACAGGAUUAGAUACCCUGGUAGUCCACGCUGUAAACGAUGAUUACUAGGUGUUGGGGGACCAAGGUCCUUCGGUGCCGUCGCAAACGCA